UGGGCAACCUGCCUCUAGCUCUGGGAUAACUCCGGGAAACCGGGGCUAAUACCGGAUACGACCUCGAGCGGCAUCUAUCGAGGUGGAAAGUUUUUCGGCUAGAGAUGGGCCCGCGGCCUAUCAGCUUGUUGGUGAGGUAACGGCCCACCAAGGCGACGACGGGUAGCCGGCCUGAGAGGGCGACCGGCCACACUGGGACUGAGACACGGCCCAGACUCCUACGGGAGGCA
This 230-nucleotide ribosomal RNA is filed under the name uncultured bacterium. RNAcentral's name for it is "partial 16S ribosomal RNA". It matches the Rfam family "Bacterial small subunit ribosomal RNA", at positions 118 to 350 of the family's 1533-position model. The record is from RNAcentral.